GGUCAGGACCAGAACAUAACAUGGCAGAAUCUGAACUCAGCUGUGCACUGCACUUUCAGUUGGCUUUUAUUUCUCCAUCUCUUUUUGUUUUCCUUGGAGGCCUGCUUACCAUUCUGGCUUUCAGGUUAAUUCGAUGCAUUUGUAGAUUCAUUCUUAAGAAAAUCUGGAGAAAAAAGGUGAAGAACAAAGAUGUCUGGCGAUCACGCAAAAGGAAACAAAGAUUAGUCUACUAUGUAAGAAUCUUCUCUACACAGAUGGAAAUGAUGCUAUCAGCUCAAACCUACAUGGGACGUGUAUUGAUGACACUGGUGUUUUUUCUGAACAUUGGCACGCUGGUCAUUUAUUUUAUCGACAUUGUUGAAGCGGAGCAAUUGCACUUCUCCUUUCCGCACAGACUCAUUUAUGUGGAUCAAUUCUGCAAUGCUUUCUUCGUCUUUUACUUUGGAUUACGGUUUGUGGCGGCUGAUGACAAGCUGAGGUUCUGGCUCGAGCUGAAUUCUCUCGUGGAUUUCUUCACCAUUCCUCCAGUGUUUGUUGCUGCUCUUUUAAAGAAGAAUUGCUUUGGUCUGCGUUCUUUGAGAGCAUUGAGGUUGUUGGACCUUCCCCGCAUACUGCAGAUCCUCAGGAUCACCAAGGAUGAUAACUCCAUCAAGCUCUCCAAGCUCUUUGCCGUGUUUAUCAGCACGUUGUUCACAGCAGCAGGACUUGUUCACCUGGUAGAAAACAAUGGAGAUCCUUGGGUCCAGCCUGUAAAUUCCCAGACUAUCCCCUACUUCAGGUGCAUGUACCUCAUCAUGGUGACUAUGUCCACCGUGGGUUAUGGUGAUAUUGUGGUUCAAACAGUCUUGGGCCGAGCCUUCAUUUUUUUCUUCAUUAUUGGUGGUUUGGUCCUGUUUGCAAAUGUGAUUCCUGAAGUUUUGGAAGUUGUUCAAAGCCGUAAAAGUUACAAAUCCUCCUAUGAAGUGAUGAGUGGGAAAAACUAUAUUGUUGCCUGUGGUAAUGUCACUCUGAAGAGCGUUACUACUUUCCUGGAAGACUUUUUGCUUCAGUACAAGGGGAAUGUUUGCACAGAAAUCCUUUUUCUGGGAGAGUCUCUUCCCAGUCUUGAGCUGGAAGCUGUGUUCAAAUGCUAUUCACCCUACACCACUUUCUUUUAUGGCUCCGCACUGAACUCUGAAGAUCUGAAAAGAGUUCGGAUGGAGUCUGCAAAUGCUUGUCUCAUUCUAGCAGAUGUUUGCUCUCCAGAACCCUAUGCUGAAGACAUUUCCAAUAUCAUGAGAGUGCUGUCAAUCAAGAAUCACUACCCCAAAACAAGAGUCAUUUUACAGAUAAUUCAGUCACGUAACAAGGCUUACCUGCCAAACAUACCCAACUGGGACUGGAGGAUGGGAGACAGCAUCAUCUGCUUUGCUGAGCUGAAGUUGGGCUUCAUGGCACAGAGCUGCCUGGUUCCUGGUUUGUCCACUCUCCUGACCAGUUUGUUCAUUGGGAAAGAGAAUACAGAGACAAAGAGAAAACAUCUGAAGGACAAGAUGCUUCUGGGAGACAAAGACUACAAAGUAAUGGCUCUUCAGCUCUCCAAUGAUUUUGCAGACAUGACUUUUAUAGAGGUUUGUCGGUUAUGCUUUGUAAAACUCAACCUUAUCCUCUUGGGGAUUGAGCUCAAAUUUGGCAGUCGAGGAGAGAGUGCCAUCCUGAUCAAUCCAUCUCCACAGAUAAAGCUUCACCGGAAUACAAUGGGCUUUUUUAUUGCUCAUUCUCUUGCAGAAGUGAAAAGGGCACAAUUCUAUUGCAGAGUUUGUCACAGUGACAUCCAGGAUCCAGAGCAGAUUGAGAAAUGUCAGUGUGGAAGCAAAUCUCACUCAAAAACUUUCUCAGAGAAACUGAAAAUCUCCAUAGAAUCGCUUAUUUUGGAUGGAGAGCCUGCAAAGUCAAGGUUCGUUAGUACCCUUCCACCUCAGAGCUCUGUUAAUGGGGUCCCACAUGCCCAGGAGAAGAAGAGCAGCAGUCUCCCCUUGUAUCUAACAGGAAGGUUCCACUGCUGUGAUGCUGUUCCGCUGCACGAAGCUCUUCUGAGCUGCAAGAACCAAGCAGUGCUGUACCUGCAGGACCACAUCUUGGUCUGCGUCUUUGGUGAUGCAAAAUCCCCAUUGAUUGGGCUGCAGGACUUUGUGAUGCCCUUACGAGCAACAAACUUCCUUUACCGUGAGCUGAAAGACAUUGUUCUCCUUGGACCAUUGGAGUACCUGCAAAGAGAAUGGAAAUUUAUUCAGCAUUUCCCAAAGCUGUGGUUAUUCUCGGGCAGUGCUCUCUCCUGUGCGGAUCUGAAGGCAGUUAAUGUCCAAGGCUGUGCUGCUUGUGUCAUUCUGUCUUCCAACACCCCCAUCUCAAACAAUCCUUCCCUGGCGGACACAGAAAGCAUCCUAGCCACUCUCAAUGUCCGAUCUAUGGAGGCUAAGCUCAACUCAUCCUCACUGGAUGCUGUUUUCGGAGCAGGAGCAUUGGGGAAUCAAUCAGAGCCACGUUAUAAAAGGAUCCCCAUCACUACAGAGCUGAAGUUUUCACCAAAUGCCCACUUCAUUAAUCAGGCUCCCAGCAGCAGUUCUGACAACCCAGAUGAAGAUCUGCUUUCCUCCACCGCUGCCCCCGCAGGAGCUAUUUUCUCAGAUAGCUUCUUUCAUUCUCUUUUGUCUAUGACCUACUACAACCAUCACAUCCUGGCUUUGCUGCAUGCUUUGGUGACAAGCAGGACGAGCCCAGCGUUGGAGCAGCUGGAAGAAGAGGACAGCAGAAUGAGCAGAAGUCUGGACGACAUGGUCCAAAAUCCCUAUCAUGUCAGGUGCAAGCUGGCACUCCUGCCACUGUCCAAGAGGUGGUUGCCAGGGGUCAUGCAGGAGGAUUCCUUUGGAGACAUCUACUGCAAAGCUUUAGAUACAUUUGGAAUACUCUGCUUUGGCCUCUACCGACUGAUGGAUGAGCCCAACCCAUACAAAAACAGGUUUGUGAUUCCUCGGCCUGCCAAUGAUUUGAAGAUGUUGCCCACCGAUCUUCUUUUCUCCAUCGUUCCAUUCAACAUUGCAAUAACUGAAGACCUAUGAGAGGAAUUGGAGUCAAUUACAAAGCAAGAAAACAGGUUUGAAAGACUGCAGCUUGAGUCCAGAUACCACAUGCCGAGAAGAAAGGAACCCAAACAGCUGAUGCAGAGUUCAGACUAAACUAACUGCAAGCUCCCCAGGGACAUCACAAGAGCUCUUAUGAAGGAUGACUGUUGUGUUUCCAUCUGGAGCAGCUGAGCAGCCCAACUCAUGCCUCUGGAAGUUGGUAGAGAGAAACCCCUGUGCACAUUCACCCCUAACUGCAGCCUGCCCUCCCUGCCAGCAAUUUCAAUGGAGCAGUCCCGACACUGCAAAGAGCCAACCCACAGACUCCAAACUGAGGCUGAGAGGAGGAAGAUGAGCAUCAUUGACUGUUCCAUCAGAGCAGCUGAUGCUGUAGGGAAGCUGCAGGAGUGAUGCACGAAUCUCACAUUGAUAUUUAAGCUCUGGAGCUUGAGAGCAAUAGGGUUGUUCCACAAUUUCCCACUCUGAAAGGACUGCUCAGUGCCUGGGCUUGCUGUGAUGUCAUUCCUUUUGAGAACCUUUUCAGAUGAAGUCAGUGCAGGUGACUUCCACGUCCAUCAGAACACCACUGGUGUGAUCCUGGGCUGCUUGGUUCUCAAUUGCUCGUAGCAGUUUCCUUGUCUGUCCAUCAGUUGUGCUCCGUCAAUGUGCUGAGUUACAUCUGAGGGCUGGAAUGCAACUGAGCUGAAUAAUCCCUUGCGGAUAGGAAGAGGAGAUGGAUGCACUCCCCUCAGGAAGAAGAGUCCAAGAGGAUGAUAGCAACAAUCCAGCUGGGCCUGCAAGUCAACACCAUUCCCAGAUUUAGCCAAGAACUUUGGCAGUUUUUGAGUUGCUUGGGAUUUUGCCCUGGAUCCACAGUGUCAGGAGUGGCUGCUGCCCAGAUUAGCAAGUUGUGGUACGACCACUGUUGCUGAUGCCAAUAGUCAAAGAGAGGGGAAUGAAACCUGCUGAGACUUGGGGAUAAAACAAAUCAGUAUUAAUUAAAAGCAAAUGCUGUCUGUUGACUAAGAGGUUCCAAAGCAGAUGUUUGUCAAAAUCGCCAGGAGAUGGGUCAUCUGAAAGCAGAAGUUAUAAAUAAUGAGAACUAAGUUUUGAGUUAUUUCGUGUUUUCUCAGGUCAAAACCAGGUGUCAGUCAGUACUGGAACUACCGCAGACUGAAACACGUUGUGUUCUUACACUGCAGGGAGCUCCAUACCAUCAUCUCUUUGUGACCCAUGCAUCCAAACCACUGUGCACCUGCAGACCUGUGGCAGCAUUACAUGCACAGCUGGCAACAUGCUGGGCAGACCUUCACAUCACUCCUGCAGGCAGAGGCUGGCAACCUCACUCCACCUAAUGGCUCUUUACAAUGUUAUGCUCAGGUGGAUGCAUGUUGGAAUGGCACCUCUGUGGGUCUCCAUCCUUCUUUGGCAGCAGCACAGAGGAAUCCAGGCAGCUCACUCUGUUCUGUUCUGGGAUACAUCAGAAGAAGUGUCCAGCUGUGAUGCAAACCAGCUU
Non-coding RNA from Coturnix japonica (Japanese quail), 4617 nucleotides. The record is from RefSeq and is a predicted model, not a curated record. NCBI's taxonomy places the organism in Eukaryota, Metazoa, Chordata, Aves, Galliformes, Phasianidae.